UUAAUUGGAAGCUUGACUUGGGAUGUGAUACCAAGUCUGUAACACAGAGGAAGAAAUCACGGCAGAUACGGCUCAGCGAGCGAGAAGGCUCGCGCAGGAAAGGGAGACAGCUCAGUGAGCGUUGACAAGGCUUACGGAGGAAAGAGAUCAUGAUGAUCAAGGGACGUACUGCCCGUAGGAAACAAAUCAGGCCAUGGCCGGAGGACUUAUUGCCCAUACAGAUAAAACAGAGGAAAUUUAACAGAAACAAGAUUGCAUUCUUAAAGUUUUUAUAGAGGAAGCCUUCCACUGACUUGUAGAUCGAGUGGGGUGAGGGAGGGAACCACAAGAAGAUAACAAGCCAUGCAAUGCAACUCAGAGUCAGAGGACAGGUUCUUCAAUCUUCAGCAUAUGAGAUCUUAGAUCCUCCUAGCUGGUUCUUUUGCUGGAAAAUGUAGACAUAUAUAAACUGCAAGCCAACCAAGCCAUAUGUAUGAAUCAGAUAGCAAGAAACUUCCCCCAAAUCAAAAGUACUUUUGAUUAUCCUAAAUUAAUUAUUUGGUUACUCUAUUUUAAAAGAUUCAUAUCUUGAUUGAUCCCUGCCACAACCCAACUGUACGGAUCAGUUUUCUGGCACUAAGAUACAUAAUUUAGACAUGUUAACUCUGAUUUUCAAGAAAUCUUGUAAAACUUCGGUUCCCUUUGUAUAGGAUU
Non-coding RNA from Prunus avium (sweet cherry), 693 nucleotides. The record is from RefSeq and is a predicted model, not a curated record. Lineage: Eukaryota; Viridiplantae; Streptophyta; Magnoliopsida; Rosales; Rosaceae.